CAUAUAAGUAGGCGGUGGAAAAUAAACCAAAUGGGAUUCCUUAAGUAAUGGCGAAUGAACAAGGAACUGCUCAACUUGAAAAUCGGGGCUUCUGGCCUUGAAUUGUAAUUUUGAAAUGUAUUGCCAAUGGAGGCGCAGGUGCAAGCCAAUUGAAAGAAAGCGUCAAAGAAGGUGAAAAUCCUUUUUGUCAUUUGCAGCCCUCCGUGCACGGUAUAUAUUUGACGAGUCACACUCCUCGGCAUUGGAAUGCAAAGUGGGUGGUAAAUUUCAUGUAAAGAUUAAUAUAUUAUUGAGACUGAUAGCGAACAAGUACCAUGAGGGAAAUAUGAAAAGGACUUUGAAAAGAGAAUUAAAAGAGUCUGCACUUGCUGAACAGAAAGCAAACAGAAGUGAUUAUGCUUGGUAAGAUUGUUGCGUCUUGUUGUUCUGCAACUUGGGCGCAGUGGUUCUUACCUUGUCUGCCAGCAUCUUUUCUGCAAAUCAGAACCCUGGCACAUGACUGGUAAUUCGCCUGCGGGUGUUGGAAUGCAUGUGUUUGCUAUGAUUUGUGAUUAGAUUUGUGCGCGUGGUGCUUCGGUAUGUGGCUCUUUGCUGUGGGGGAAUUCUCCUCUGCCCUGCUGAAUCCCUUGCGCUACAUCGCUGGCAAAAUGUUUCUGCUUGACCCGUCUUGA
RNAcentral lists this ribosomal RNA (671 nucleotides) under Alexandrium andersonii. Its description in RNAcentral is "LSU rRNA". It matches the Rfam family "Eukaryotic large subunit ribosomal RNA", at positions 39 to 657 of the family's 3401-position model. The record is from RNAcentral. Lineage: Eukaryota; Dinophyceae; Gonyaulacales; Pyrocystaceae.